RNAcentral lists this ribosomal RNA (253 nucleotides) under uncultured bacterium. Its description in RNAcentral is "partial 16S ribosomal RNA". It matches the Rfam family "Bacterial small subunit ribosomal RNA", at positions 524 to 776 of the family's 1533-position model. The record is from RNAcentral.
UACGGAGGGUGCGAGCGUUGUCCGGAAUCACUGGGCGUAAAGGGCGCGUAGGUGGCCCGCGGAGUCAACGGUGAAAGUUUGGGGCUCAACCCCGGAUCGGCCGUCGAUACUCGUGGGCUGGAGCACUGUAGAGGCUCAUGGAAUUCCGGGUGUAGCGGUGGAAUGCGUAGAGAUCCGGAAGAACACCGGUGGCGAAGGCGGUGAGCUGGGCAGUGGCUGACACUGAGGCGCGACAGCGUGGGGAGCAAACAGG